GUAAGCAUCUCGGCAACCUGCAUGCAUCUAUGCCAUUCCUAUCAUGGUGCAUGGAGCAAGCUUCACAUAACACUCAGACAGAGACAGUUUAAUUAUGGUUACAUAUCAGACUCAGUUUAUUGCUCAGUCUAUUAGGUGCAGUGCUGUUAAUAUUGUUAGUGGUAGUAUUAGUACAAUUAAUGUAUUUAUUUUAAUUAAUUUAUCAAUAUUUAUUAUAUUCUUAGUGUUUGAAAAUUCCAAUACUAGCAUUAAAAUAAACAAAAAUAUCAGAAAUAUAUUUAUACUCAUUAAUUAUUAUUGCUUUUCUUAUUAUUACUUCCUUCAAUGUCCUGGCACUUUGACAUCUAGUGUUUUUCUGUCUAGCAGCCAAAAUUGUGGUCUUUCUGAAUGUGUAUGUCCUAAGUCUUCAUUGGUGUAUCUAGCUAUAUAACAAAAAUCUGCAUCUCUCUCCCUUCUCACCCAGUUGUCCCCGUACAUCCUUUCAGUAUCCAAAGAAUUUCAAUUUACAUCUUGUAAUCACUCAACUAAUGCAGUGCAAUCCUCAUCUCUGUAUUUUACCGUGUGAACAUACUCUUUCCUUCCAUGUUCCACUGUCGUAUGUUAUUCCACAUCUAACACAACCACAUCCCAACAGAUCCGAACACGUCCGAUAUCAUCCAAGAGAAUGUGGCAGCUGAAGGGGGAGAGGCCAAGAAAGAGGCCAAGGGUGAAGACAUUUAGCCACCCCCCCUGAAGUACAUGGCAUCAUUCAACCCUCUUGGUGAGCUACAGGAAUGUGCUUCCCAUUGCAGUGCACCAGCUCCAUGUACUGAUUUUGGUGUGAACUUGAUGGGGUUGGAGGAAACUUGACUCGGCCAUCAAGCUCACCACAAUAUAACAUGAAAAGUGAAAAUUGCUGCACACAACAGUCUGUCGUCUGCACCGGGAGGCAAGGCAGCUCAAAGCCCAGGCUGUUACAAAUCCUGGGCAGUUUUUGCCCAGAGCCAGCAAUUUUUUAGAUCCAAUAGGGAUGGAUUUUUUAUGAGGUCAGGUUCAACAUGCUGCAAGAUGCCAAGAUCUAAGCCUAGUAGGAGAUAUGGGUUACAAGAGAGGAGGUUUGCUCUGGCCUUAUACUAUCAAAGUCCAAAUGCUAAUAGAUUUCUGAGCACAGUAUUUCACUUGUCUUCAGUUUCAACACUUCAAUCAUGACUCAGGGGUAUUUCAGUACAUGUUGGCUGGAGCAAACAGACUCUGACAGCCCUGCAGCAAAGCACAGGCUUUG
This is a long non-coding RNA of Eriocheir sinensis (Chinese mitten crab), 1261 nucleotides long. RefSeq lists it as uncharacterized. The transcript is spliced from 3 exons. NCBI's taxonomy places the organism in Eukaryota, Metazoa, Arthropoda, Malacostraca, Decapoda, Varunidae. The record is from RefSeq and is a predicted model, not a curated record.